CUGCCAGAUAUUUGGGUUUAUGUUUCUUUCUUCUUCUCAAUAGUAUUUUUUUUUUUCAAGUAAAUGACAUUUCAAAACAUAUGUUACAAUAACGUCAUUUGCCUCUCAGUAUUAAGAUUAUUAUUAUUGUUCUGAAGAAGAAGUCAUGACUAUUACUGAAACAAGUGGAUCUCCAACUAGGCUUCAGGGGAAGUAUGGUGCAAUGGUAGUAUGUUGGAUUCUAGGACUUGGGUCUCGUCUCUUGGAACAGCAUGUUGACAAUAGGAGAUUACUACUAUAACCUGUUCCCGUUCUUGAAGAAUUCUUCCAUGUAAUACUUGAAUUCUAUGAGAAGAGAAAGGCAAGUUGUCUAAUGUUGUUGUGUUUAUCUUUUCUUCCCAUUUUGAGCCUUUUCAGCUCAUUGGUUUUCAAACAGAAAGUCUGCACCUCAUUAUAAUCAUCUUACUUCAUUUUAUUUUACAGCACUUCACUGCUGUCAUUAUCUGUCACAAGGAGGUUAUUCAGUGGAUGACUUUAUGGAAUGCGUUCAAGGAUGAAUUUGAGAAUGAAAAGAACAUGCUUGGUAGUUCUUUAGGACGAUCAAGCACAAGGCUGAUGCUUGGUGAAAAGAACAUGCAUAAACAUUUGAAGUGGCUAAAACAAUAUCGAUGGGGCAUCAUUGAAAAGUGGAUCAAAAGUUGGAAAAAGUGGAUCAAAAGUUCACGAACCAGACGAGCACCCUCUCCAACAUAUUUCUUAACAAAUUCACGAAGCUAAAUUGUACAAGACUACUUGGCAGUAUAAGCAUUUUUGGGAGGAUUAAAUAUUUUUGGAUGGAUGUGUAUGGAUAACAAAUAUUAGUAGUUUUAUUUGUUGAUAGCUGCGCAUGGAUAACAAAUAGUUAUGUUUCAAAUUGUUAUGCUAGAUGGAUGUGACUUGUG
Molecule: non-coding RNA, 920 nt
Organism: Camellia sinensis
Lineage: Eukaryota; Viridiplantae; Streptophyta; Magnoliopsida; Ericales; Theaceae
Source: RefSeq, a predicted model, not a curated record